RNAcentral lists this transfer RNA (73 nucleotides) under Ixodes scapularis (black-legged tick). It matches the Rfam family "tRNA". From Rfam's summary of the family: Transfer RNA (tRNA) molecules are approximately 80 nucleotides in length. Their secondary structure includes four short double-helical elements and three loops (D, anti-codon, and T loops). Lineage: Eukaryota; Metazoa; Arthropoda; Arachnida; Ixodida; Ixodidae. The record is from Rfam by way of RNAcentral.
UCCUGCUUAGCUCAGUUGGUAGACCACUCCAUUGAAAAUGGAGAGGUCCCUGGUUCGAUACCAGGACCAGACA